CGAACGCUGGCGGCAGGCCUAACACAUGCAAGUCGAGCGAGGGGCAACCCUAGCGGCGGACGGGUGAGUAACGCGUGGGAACGUACCCUUUGGUUCGGAAUAGCCCCUGGAAACGGGGAGUAAUACCGGAUACGGUCGAGAGACGAAAGAUUUAUCGCCGAAGGAUCGGCCCGCGUUGGAUUAGGUAGUUGGUGGGGUAAUGGCCUACCAAGCCGACGAUCCAUAGCUGGUUUGAGAGGAUGAUCAGCCACACUGGGACUGAGACACGGCCCAGACUCCUACGGGAGGCAGCAGUGGGGAAUCUUAGACAAUGGGCGCAAGCCUGAUCUAGCCAUGCCGCGUGAUCGAUGAAGGCCUUAGGGUUGUAAAGAUCUUUCAGUGGGGAAGAUAAUGACUGUACCCACAGAAGAAGCCCCGGCUAACUCCGUGCCAGCAGCCGCGGUAAUCUGAUGGCGCGAGG
Molecule: ribosomal RNA, 460 nt
Filed under: uncultured bacterium
Lineage: Bacteria
Description: bacterial SSU rRNA
Rfam family: Bacterial small subunit ribosomal RNA
Source: RNAcentral